This 1552-nucleotide ribosomal RNA is filed under the name Escherichia coli. Its description in RNAcentral is "bacterial SSU rRNA". It matches the Rfam family "Bacterial small subunit ribosomal RNA". Lineage: Bacteria; Pseudomonadati; Pseudomonadota; Gammaproteobacteria; Enterobacterales; Enterobacteriaceae. The record is from RNAcentral.
AAAUUGAAGAGUUUGAUCAUGGCUCAGAUUGAACGCUGGCGGCAGGCCUAACACAUGCAAGUCGAACGGUAACAGAAAGCAGCUUGCUGCUUUGCUGACGAGUGGCGGACGGGUGAGUAAUGUCUGGGAAACUGCCUGAUGGAGGGGAUAACUACUGGAAACGGUAGCUAAUACCGCAUAACGUCGCAAGACCAAAGAGGGGGACCUUAGGGCCUCUUGCCAUCGGAUGUGCCCAGAUGGGAUUAGCUAGUAGGUGGGGUAACGGCUCACCUAGGCGACGAUCCCUAGCUGGUCUGAGAGGAUGACCAGCCACACUGGAACUGAGACACGGUCCAGACUCCUACGGGAGGCAGCAGUGGGGAAUAUUGCACAAUGGGCGCAAGCCUGAUGCAGCCAUGCCGCGUGUAUGAAGAAGGCCUUCGGGUUGUAAAGUACUUUCAGCGGGGAGGAAGGGAGUAAAGUUAAUACCUUUGCUCAUUGACGUUACCCGCAGAAGAAGCACCGGCUAACUCCGUGCCAGCAGCCGCGGUAAUACGGAGGGUGCAAGCGUUAAUCGGAAUUACUGGGCGUAAAGCGCACGCAGGCGGUUUGUUAAGUCAGAUGUGAAAUCCCCGGGCUCAACCUGGGAACUGCAUCUGAUACUGGCAAGCUUGAGUCUCGUAGAGGGGGUAGAAUUCCAGGUGUAGCGGUGAAAUGCGUAGAGAUCUGGAGGAAUACCGGUGGCGAAGGCGGCCCCCUGGACGAAGACUGACGCUCAGGUGCGAAAGCGUGGGGAGCAAACAGGAUUAGAUACCCUGGUAGUCCACGCCGUAAACGAUGUCGACUUGGAGGUUGUGCCCUUGAGGCGUGGCUUCCGGAGCUAACGCGUUAAGUCGACCGCCUGGGGAGUACGGCCGCAAGGUUAAAACUCAAAUGAAUUGACGGGGGCCCGCACAAGCGGUGGAGCAUGUGGUUUAAUUCGAUGCAACGCGAAGAACCUUACCUGGUCUUGACAUCCACGGAAGUUUUCAGAGAUGAGAAUGUGCCUUCGGGAACCGUGAGACAGGUGCUGCAUGGCUGUCGUCAGCUCGUGUUGUGAAAUGUUGGGUUAAGUCCCGCAACGAGCGCAACCCUUAUCCUUUGUUGCCAGCGGUCCGGCCGGGAACUCAAAGGAGACUGCCAGUGAUAAACUGGAGGAAGGUGGGGAUGACGUCAAGUCAUCAUGGCCCUUACGACCAGGGCUACACACGUGCUACAAUGGCGCAUACAAAGAGAAGCGACCUCGCGAGAGCAAGCGGACCUCAUAAAGUGCGUCGUAGUCCGGAUUGGAGUCUGCAACUCGACUCCAUGAAGUCGGAAUCGCUAGUAAUCGUGGAUCAGAAUGCCACGGUGAAUACGUUCCCGGGCCUUGUACACACCGCCCGUCACACCAUGGGAGUGGGUUGCAAAAGAAGUAGGUAGCUUAACCUUCGGGAGGGCGCUUACCACUUUGUGAUUCAUGACUGGGGUGAAGUCGUAACAAGGUAACCGUAGGGGAACCUGCGGUUGGAUCACCUCCUUACCUUAAAGAAGC